Daphnia magna is the source of this 880-nucleotide long non-coding RNA. RefSeq lists it as uncharacterized. Lineage: Eukaryota; Metazoa; Arthropoda; Branchiopoda; Diplostraca; Daphniidae. The record is from RefSeq and is a predicted model, not a curated record. The transcript is spliced from 3 exons.
AUCACCAUCGUUAAGGAGAAUUUUGACGACCAAGCCUUAUGGCCAAAGUCGAUGCAGUGAACGAACCAUCCCCUCUAUGACUCUGGUACUCUGGUAGUAGUAGUCGGCCUACGGCCGAAAGACACCUAGUGACAAGAACCGCUUUGGUUACAUCAGUUUUGUUGACAGUUUGGUUACUGGCGGUUUUAUAUGGUUAAAAACUACUACUACGGAUUUAUAUGGUUACAAAGGUGACCAACCAAUUCCCAUAUAUCUUUCUCCAUUAAAUCAAUCAACCGGUUUAUAUUAAGCCGGUUGAUUAAAAUGACACCAUUUAAUUUCAACCCCCCCAUUUCUGAAAAAAAAACUAAAACAUCUUGUGUUGUUUUGGUGGAAACAAAGUGGGAAAAUUCGUGUGGUAAACUAAGAAGGAGCAGCUGACUAGGGCAACUGAAAAUGUACUGCAAUGUUUUCAUGUAAUUCUGCAGCCAUAUAACCUGGACUCUGGCUCAUCGGACAUUGAACUGGAGAAUAGGUUACAACUAGCCGCUGCCAUGAGAAAAGAGCCAAAUCAGAUUUUUCUAGCUUUACUAAAUAGUAUGUUAACAAAUGCCUGUUAACUUUCCUAAUCAUCACCUCCUACGUACGUUAAACUGUGAAGUGAAGUGUGUCGAGAAAAUGGCUGUAGGAAAAGUGGGGUUGCCCUUAAACAAGACGCUUGAUCAAAUCAAGUGUGCUGAACAAGUUAGCCUUUGGCUUCGUCUCUUAACUAUAAAAUUUUAUUUUCUGAGUUUAAUGUGUAUACGUUGUUUAAACAGUAUCUUUACCUUGAUUGUAUUGGUUGUCUCACACCAUAGAAAUCUAAUUUCUACUGACGAACUCGUACAGGAAGAAAAAAGGU